RNAcentral lists this non-coding RNA (45 nucleotides) under Schistosoma haematobium. The record is from RNAcentral. Lineage: Eukaryota; Metazoa; Platyhelminthes; Trematoda; Strigeidida; Schistosomatidae.
AUCCAGCUGACGAGUCCCAAAUAGGAGGAAGUGAGGGUCCUGGAU